RNAcentral lists this ribosomal RNA (306 nucleotides) under uncultured bacterium. RNAcentral's name for it is "partial 16S ribosomal RNA". It matches the Rfam family "Bacterial small subunit ribosomal RNA", at positions 505 to 807 of the family's 1533-position model. The record is from RNAcentral.
GACAGCAGUAGCCACGGGAAUACAGAGGGUGCGAGCGUUAAUCGGAUUUACUGGGCGUAAAGCGUGCGUAGGCGGCUUUUUAAGUCGGAUGUGAAAUCCCUGAGCUUAACUUAGGAAUUGCAUUCGAUACUGGGAAGCUAGAGUAUGGGAGAGGAUGGUAGAAUUCCAGGUGUAGCGGUGAAAUGCGUAGAGAUCUGGAGGAAUACCGAUGGCGAAGGCAGCCAUCUGGCCUAAUACUGACGCUGAGGUACGAAAGCAUGGGGAGCAAACAGGAUUAGAUACCCCCGUAGUCCCUGUCUCUUAUAC